CGAGCGGACCGACGGGAGCUUGCUCCCUUAGGUCAGCGGCGGACGGGUGAGUAACACGUGGGUAACCUGCCUGUAAGACUGGGAUAACUCCGGGAAACCGGGGCUAAUACCGGAUGCUUGAUUGAACCGCAUGGUUCAAUCAUAAAAGGUGGCUUUCAGCUACCACUUGCAGAUGGACCCGCGGCGCAUUAGCUAGUUGGUGAGGUAACGGCUCACCAAGGCGACGAUGCGUAGCCGACCUGAGAGGGUGAUCGGCCACACUGGGACUGAGACACGGCCCAGACUCCUACGGGAGGCAGCAGUAGGGAAUCUUCCGCAAUGGACGAAAGUCUGACGGAGCAACGCCGCGUGAGUGAUGAAGGUUUUCGGAUCGUAAAACUCUGUUGUUAGGGAAGAACAAGUACCGUUCGAAUAGGGCGGUACCUUGACGGUACCUAACCAGAAAGCCACGGCUAACUACGUGCCAGCAGCCGCGGUAAUACGUAGGUGGCAAGCGUUGUCCGGAAUUAUUGGGCGUAAAGCGCGCGCAGGCGGUUCAAGUCUGAUGUGAAAGCCCCCGGCUCAACCGGGGAGGGUCAUUGGAAACUGGGGAACUUGAGUGCAGAAGAGGAGAGUGGAAUUCCACGUGUAGCGGUGAAAUGCGUAGAGAUGUGGAGGAACACCAGUGGCGAAGGCGACUCUCUGGUCUGUAACUGACGCUGAGGCGCGAAAGCGUGGGGAGCGAACAGGAUUAGAUACCCUGGUAGUCCACGCCGUAAACGAUGAGUGCUAAGUGUUAGAGGGUUUCCGCCCUUUAGUGCUGCAGCAAACGCAUUAAGCACUCCGCCUGGGGAGUACGGUCGCAAGACUGAAACUCAAAGGAAUUGACGGGGGCCCGCACAAGCGGUGGAGCAUGUGGUUUAAUUCGAAGCAACGCGAGAACUUACCAGGUCUUGACAUCCUCUGACAACCCUAGAGAUAGGGCUUCCCCUUCGGGGGCAGAGUGACAGGUGGUGCAUGGUUGUCGUCAGCUCGUGUCGUGAGAUGUUGGGUUAAGUCCCGCAACGAGCGCAACCCUUGAUCUUAGUUGCCAGCAUUCAGUUGGGCACUCUAAGGUGACUGCCGGUGACAAACCGGAGGAAGGUGGGGAUGACGUCAAAUCAUCAUGCCCCUUAUGACCUGGGCUACACACGUGCUACAAUGGGCAGAACAAAGGGCAGCGAAGCCGCGAGGCUAAGCCAAUCCCACAAAUCUGUUCUCAGUUCGGAUCGCAG
This 1253-nucleotide ribosomal RNA is filed under the name Bacillus licheniformis. Its description in RNAcentral is "bacterial SSU rRNA". It matches the Rfam family "Bacterial small subunit ribosomal RNA", at positions 63 to 1303 of the family's 1533-position model. Lineage: Bacteria; Bacillati; Bacillota; Bacilli; Caryophanales; Bacillaceae. The record is from RNAcentral.